This 492-nucleotide ribosomal RNA is filed under the name uncultured bacterium. RNAcentral's name for it is "partial 16S ribosomal RNA". It matches the Rfam family "Bacterial small subunit ribosomal RNA", at positions 28 to 507 of the family's 1533-position model. The record is from RNAcentral.
GAUGAACGCUAGCUACGGGCUUAACACAUGCAAGUCGAGGGGAAACGACAUCGAAAGCUUGCUUUUGAUGGGCGUCGACCGGCGCACGGGUGAGUAACGCGUAUCCAACCUGCCCAUCACUUGGGAAUAACCUUGCGAAAGUAAGACUAAUACCCAAUGAUAUCCCACGAAGGCAUCGGAAUGGGAUUAAAGAUUUAUCGGUGAUGGAUGGGGAUGCGUCUGAUUAGCUUGUUGGCGGGGUAACGGCCCACCAAGGCAACGAUCAGUAGGGGUUCUGAGAGGAAGGUCCCCCACAUUGGAACUGAGACACGGUCCAAAAUCCUACGGGAGGCAGCAGUGAGGAAUAUUGGUCAAGGGGCGAGAGCCUGAACCAGCCAAGUAGCGUGCAGGAAGACGGCCCUAUGGGUUGUAAACUGCUUUUAUAAGGGAAUAAAGUGGGUCACGUGUGACUUUUUGCAUGUACCUUAUGAAUAAGGACCGGCUAAUUCCGUG